Molecule: non-coding RNA, 721 nt
Organism: Paramisgurnus dabryanus
Lineage: Eukaryota; Metazoa; Chordata; Actinopteri; Cypriniformes; Cobitidae
Source: RefSeq, a predicted model, not a curated record
AAAUUUGUUUGAGCGGGAAAAUUUUACAGUAUAUUUUGGUCUUGAUGUAACCUUGCUGUAGCCAUUGCUGUAAUGUGCCAGGUGUACUUGCAAUAAUCAGUGAAAGUGCGCCAACGUCAAAUCACACAGACAGAGGGAGAGCACAACUCUUGGCUGCAGCUGAAGGAGGAUGAUUGAUUUCUGUCAGUUCGUCUUACCAUUGCUUGUAAACUGGAUUGGGUAAGAUGGAUCAUCUUUAAAGGCACCAGGAGUUAAGGCAGAUGUGGAGGCACAACGGGUGAUACCAGACACACACCAAGCACAUUAUGUUCGGACAUUCAAUCAUGACAGGAUCCAGGUGGAUGCUGUCCAUUGAUGAAAGAGUUUGUUCAGCGGUUUCUGGAUAGAAUUAAUUCCAAAGAUGGGAAAAAGUGCACAUCCAGACAAGGAGCAAGCAAAAAGACAAGGAACUUGGUGCAGAGAAAAGCUGUGGCCAUUAACCCCCAUGUGAACAGCUUCAUGCAGUCCCUGAUUGAGUUCGAAUGGACGACUUCAAAGUAAAGGCCACUGUGGUCUGUCUGCCACAGUUUAAUUUUUAAUUUAUUUUUAGUGUUCAAUGAAAUUCAAGUAGAAUAUUUAAAACUAUGGGCCAGUGUUGUUUUUACCACAGUGAAAUGUUACCUUUUAGUCGAUGAUGGACUUUAAACUGAAAACUUCAAACUAUGGACCAGUGUUCUAUUUG